GGUCUUGUAGUGUAGCGGUUAUCACACGGGAUUCUGAUUCCCGUAACCCCGAUUCGAAUUCGGGCAGGACCU
Molecule: non-coding RNA, 72 nt
Organism: Psilocybe cubensis
Lineage: Eukaryota; Fungi; Basidiomycota; Agaricomycetes; Agaricales; Agrocybaceae
Source: the annotation of a RefSeq genome assembly